Non-coding RNA from Benincasa hispida (wax gourd), 1715 nucleotides. The record is from RefSeq and is a predicted model, not a curated record. NCBI's taxonomy places the organism in Eukaryota, Viridiplantae, Streptophyta, Magnoliopsida, Cucurbitales, Cucurbitaceae.
UGUAAAUAUUUUUUCCCGUCUUGCGUAUGAACUCCAUGGACUCCAUCAUUUCCUUUCUGCCAUCGACUUCCUCCACUGAGUUUCCUUCUCCAUCGGUCCUUCCGUGAUCAUUCUGCCUACCUCUAAUUCAUUUCCACCUUCUGAUUCUUCUAUCAUUCAUCACGAACAAUACCCUUCCCUUGCCUCUUCCAACAAUCCCUAUGUUUUGCAUCACAGCGACACCUCUAACCUAGUUCUUGUGACUGAGCCUCUCACAGACGAAAAUUAUAUUACCUAGAGCCGUUCAAUGAUUCUUGCUUUGUCGAUUCGAAACAAACUUGGUUUUAUUGAUGGAUCGCUUGCUCAGUCUACAUGUGAUUUACUACCUUUAUGGAUUCGGAACAACAAUGUUGUAAUUGCUUGGAUCUUGAAUUCAGUCUCCAAGGAAUUUCUUCUAGUAUUUUGUUUACCGAUUCAGCCAGAGCGAUUUGGCUUGAUCUUCAAGAUGAUUUUCAAAAACGCAAUGGACCACACAUUUUUCAUCUGAAACGCGGUUUGUCCACUCUCAAGCAAGAACAUGGAUCUGUUACGGUGUACUAUGCCAAGGUUAAAAGUCUCUGGGAUGAAUACGCCUUCUAUCAGCCUGGCUGCACUUGCAGAAAAUGUACUUGUGGAUUUAGAUCGGCUGAAGAUUUUAUCCAAUUUGAAUAUCUGUUGUGUUUCCUAAUGGGCCUAAGUGAUGAUUUCGCUCAUAUUAGGUCUUAGAUCUUGCUUAUGAAUUCGCCUCCUGCCAUCAACCAAGCGUUUUCUCUAAUUGUUCAGCAAGAGCAACAUCAAUCUUCUUCUUCUAUCAAGCUACCCUGACUCUUAUUUUUGUUGUUCAUAAACUUGAUAAAUCUGAUACUUCCUCUCAAUCACAGCAGACUGCUAUCUCCAAUCCUACACGACAGAACAAAAACAAAACGGUUUGUACCUAUUAUCAUAUUUCAGGGCAUACGAUUGAUAAAUGUUAUAAGGUCCUCCCUCGAUUAUAAACAAAAAGGUCAGACUCGUCCAACUACUCAAGUUCAUAAGCUUUCUCCUAAUUCGGUUGUUGUUGCAAACACCACUAUUGAUUCUCACCAAAGAGUUUCUUUGUCUGCCACUGCGUUGAAUCCUGAUACUCUUGCUCAAUGUCAUAGUAUUCAUACUAUGCUACAAUCCAAGCUUGCUGCAGUGAAAUAUGAUUCGGAUGCUGUUAUACAUCUAGCAGAAAAUCGAUUUCAGGAUUUUGUAUCUUCCUUGUGGAUUCACUGCUAUCAUGGAAGUUGAAGAAGUAGAACGUGGUUUCUCGUUUUUCAGCUAAAGCAAAAUACAAAGCUCUUGCUUCUACUGCUUGUGAGCUUGUUUGGCUCACUUCAUUACUUCAUGACUUAUGUGCCUAUUACUCGAUCGUCCUUGUUAUUUUGUGACAAUCAGGCGACAGUGCAUUUGGCUACGAAUCCCAGAUCUCUCAAACUUCUUCCUGUACGUUCUACUUAUCAACUGGCUAAUGUGUUUACCAAAGCUCUUCAUGCUCCUACUUAUGUUUCUAUUUUGUCCAAGUUGGGUAUCUCAAAUUUAUAUACUCCAACUUGAGGGGUAUAAUAGUUGUAACCAUAGUUUGUUAUUAAUCUCUCAUAAUAAUAAUUUUUUAUUAUUCUGUUAUUUCUAUUUUUUAUACUGAUUAGUUAUAUUUUUUGUAUAUAUAUAUAUAC